CCUACGGGUGGCAGCAGUCGAGAAUCAUUCACAAUGGGGGAAACCCUGAUGGUGCGAAGCCGCGUGGGGGAAUGAAGGUCUACGGAUUGUAAACCCCUGUCAUGUGGGAGCAAAUUAAAAAGAUAGUACCACAAGAGGAGGAGCCGGCUAACUCCGUUCCAGCAGCCGCGGUAAUACAGCGGUCUCAAGCGUUGGUCGGAAUACAUGGGCUUAAAGGGUGCGUAGGAUGUUAUGUACGUCGUGGGGUAAAGGCGCGGGCUGAAACCGCGGACGGCACUGGAUUCUGUGUGUCUAGAGUGAUGGAGGGGGAACCGGAAUGCGCGGUGUAGCGGUGAAAUGCGUAGAUAUCGAGCGGAACUCUGGUGGCGAAGGCGGGUUCCUGGACAUUAACUGACGCUGAGGCACGAAGGCCAGGGGAGCGAAAGGGAUUAGAUACCCGGGUAGUC
Molecule: ribosomal RNA, 446 nt
Filed under: uncultured bacterium
Lineage: Bacteria
Description: partial 16S ribosomal RNA
Rfam family: Bacterial small subunit ribosomal RNA
Source: RNAcentral